UCUACUCUGAUCCUCCUCCAUAGCAACUCUCUCUUCUUCUGAGCUUCCCCCUCUGCCUAUUCCUCUUCUGCUCUCGUCAGAAGACCUUCUCGGGUCUCUUGACGUUCCCUCCCUGCUUGACCUGUGGAUCCUUGCCCUUGGCAAUGCAGGAGGACGACCAGCUGUACCCUCACUUUCAGGUGGGACUCCAGUCAAUCUCGCAGAUCGAUGAGUUCCUCGCAUCUUAACUCUCUCUGGAAAACACAACACAUAACAGAGCACAUAAGCAACAC
RNAcentral lists this long non-coding RNA (272 nucleotides) under Manihot esculenta (cassava). RNAcentral's name for it is "long non-coding RNA (MESC_LNC009078)". Lineage: Eukaryota; Viridiplantae; Streptophyta; Magnoliopsida; Malpighiales; Euphorbiaceae. The record is from RNAcentral.